GCUCUGGUGGCCUAGUGGUUAGAGAAUCCGCCGCGGAUGCGGGAAGUCGCGUGUUCGAUCCUCGUUCGAGUCACAGCA
Molecule: non-coding RNA, 78 nt
Organism: Potamilus streckersoni
Lineage: Eukaryota; Metazoa; Mollusca; Bivalvia; Unionida; Unionidae
Source: the annotation of a GenBank genome assembly